UCGCUUCAGCAGCACAUAUACUAAAAUUGGAACGAUACAGAGAAGAUUAGCAUGGCCCCUGCACAAGGAUGACAUGCAAAUUUGGGAAGCGUUCCAUAUUUGU
This 103-nucleotide small nuclear RNA is filed under the name Marmota marmota marmota (Alpine marmot). Lineage: Eukaryota; Metazoa; Chordata; Mammalia; Rodentia; Sciuridae. The record is from RNAcentral.